RNAcentral lists this ribosomal RNA (253 nucleotides) under uncultured bacterium. Its description in RNAcentral is "partial 16S ribosomal RNA". It matches the Rfam family "Bacterial small subunit ribosomal RNA", at positions 524 to 776 of the family's 1533-position model. The record is from RNAcentral.
UACGGGGGGGGCAAGCGUUGUUCGGAAUUACUGGGCGUAAAGGGCUCGUAGGCGGCCAACUAAGUCGGAUGUGAAAUCCCCAGGCUUAACCUGGGAACUGCAUCCGAUACUGGAUGGCUUGAAUUCGGGAGAGGGAUGCAGAAUUCCAGGUGUAGCGGUGAAAUGCGUAGAUAUCUGGAGGAAUACCGGUGGCGAAGGCGGCAUCCUGGACCGACAUUGACGCUGAGGAGCGAAAGCGUGGGGAGCAAACAGG